UUGAACGCUGGCGGAAUGCUUUACACAUGCAAGUCGAACGGCAGCACGGGGGCAACCCUGGUGGCGAGUGGCGAACGGGUGAGUAAUGUAUCGGAACGUACCCAGUCGUGGGGGAUAACUAUCCGAAAGGAUAGCUAAUACCGCAUACGUCCUGAGGGAGAAAGCGGGGGAUCGCAAGACCUCGCGCGAUUGGAGCGGCCGAUAUCGGAUUAGCUAGUUGGUGAGGUAAAGGCUCACCAAGGCGACGAUCCGUAGCGGGUCUGAGAGGACGACCCGCCACUCUGGAACUGAGACACGGUCCAGACUCCUACGGGAGGCAGCAGUGGGGAAUUUUGGACAAUGGGGGAAACCCUGAUCCAGCCAUUCCGCGUGAGUGAAGAAGGCCUUCGGGUUGUAAAGCUCUUUCGGCAGGAACGAAACGGCGGAUACUAAUAUUAUCCGUUACUGACGGUACCUGAAGAAGAAGCACCGGCUAACUACGU
RNAcentral lists this ribosomal RNA (482 nucleotides) under uncultured bacterium. RNAcentral's name for it is "bacterial SSU rRNA". It matches the Rfam family "Bacterial small subunit ribosomal RNA", at positions 30 to 506 of the family's 1533-position model. The record is from RNAcentral.